Phlebiopsis gigantea 11061_1 CR5-6 is the source of this 122-nucleotide small nuclear RNA. It matches the Rfam family "U5 spliceosomal RNA". Rfam says of the family: U5 RNA is a component of both types of known spliceosome. The precise function of this molecule is unknown, though it is known that the 5' loop is required for splice site selection and p220 binding, and that both the 3' stem-loop and the Sm site are important for Sm protein binding and cap methylation. The record is from Rfam. Lineage: Eukaryota; Fungi; Basidiomycota; Agaricomycetes; Polyporales; Phanerochaetaceae.
AGCGGCAGAGGGCAGCACAAUCAGACAACGCCCUCGCCUUUUACUAGGGCGUUCCGUGUACUGCCCUCACCUCAAUGUCGCAUCGGCAAUUUUUCAGGACAUCUGAGCCUUCGAAGUUCAGU